Phrynosoma platyrhinos (Desert horned lizard) is the source of this 72-nucleotide non-coding RNA. The record is from the annotation of a GenBank genome assembly. Lineage: Eukaryota; Metazoa; Chordata; Lepidosauria; Squamata; Phrynosomatidae.
GCUGGUGUGACAUAGUGGUUUGAGUGCUGGACUAUGAGUCCAGAAACCAGGGUUCAGUUCCCCACUUGGCCA